UGGUGACCCUUGACCUCUGGUCCCCACAGCUACACCUUCGGCAAAGUACAGGGCAACAGCGACCUCUAUUGGAAGGCGCAGCGCUACAGCCUCAUCCGGGAAUUUCACUCUCGGCCGGCGCUGGCCCCACCCUUCAUCAUCAUCUCGCACGUGCGCCUGCUCUUCCGUCGAUUGCGCAGGCACCGGGCCAGCAUGCCGGCCUCCCCCAACCUACGGCAUUUUCGGGUCCACCUCCCUAAGGAAGCCGAGAGGAAGCUGUUGACGUGGGAAUCGGUGCAGAAGGAGAAUUUCCUAUUGGCGCGGGCGAGGGACAAGCGGGAAAGUGACUCGGAGCGUCUGAAGCGCACGUCGCAGAA
Molecule: long non-coding RNA, 356 nt
Organism: Myotis brandtii (Brandt's bat)
Lineage: Eukaryota; Metazoa; Chordata; Mammalia; Chiroptera; Vespertilionidae
Exons: 2
Source: RefSeq, a predicted model, not a curated record